AUGUUGAAGUUCCUGGUCCUCAUUGUGGCGUUGGUUAUCACCACAGGAUCCCAGGCUUCUGAUGAUGAAAGCCGAAUUCCAAGAGUGGAGGAACUGCUCAGAUACUGGUUUGGUUUGCCCACGGCAUCAGAUUUCAUAUGGGACAACUUUAGCGAAUCAAAGACUGGGCAGGAAUUGUCAGGCCUGUUCCAUAAUGCAAGCCAACAAUUUCAUAAAUUUGACCGAGAGAUUCCAUCGGAGCUCACAGAACCCUUACAUCUCGUGAGUGCUGUAUAUACAGGUGUUAUGCUGAAAGCUUAUAGCGCUGUAACUGAGCUGAGAGACCAGCAGAAACUUCAAGAACCACUGAUAAACCUACUGGCGUAUUAUGUGGAACCCGUCCUGGAGAGGAUGGAACCAUAUUUUGAGUCCUUCGGACCGAUGCUCAAUGACGAACUGAGAUACAUUCAUGAGAAAUUGCCGGAGUAUUUUAAACCUCUUGACGAUGGGCUCUUCUUCUACCUCAAGAAGUUGGAAGACGCUAAACCGACCCUCCAAGACGCCGCCGACCAAACGCUGACUCGUUUCAUACAAGGGCUGGAGGCUCUUCACAAGAACCUGAAUCCUUACCUGAAACCCCUUCUGGAGGAGAGCAAAAAACACGAAACAGAGUUUAGGGAUUGGGUUCACGCCUCCAUAUUUCCCUCAGACUCGUGAUUUUUUUUUUUCAUGAGUAAGGGGGAGUGAUGCAUUGUGGAUCUUUAAGAAAAUCGGUGUGGAAGGGGUCACUAAAAUGAUGUGGUGGGCAGUAAUUUGUAAACUCCCCGCCUGGUGAUAUAAUAAAGGAGACAUUUUUAAAAACGGCUAGCCA
Molecule: long non-coding RNA, 850 nt
Filed under: Pogona vitticeps (central bearded dragon)
Lineage: Eukaryota; Metazoa; Chordata; Lepidosauria; Squamata; Agamidae
Description: lncRNA (ENSPVIG00000021664.1)
Source: RNAcentral